Molecule: long non-coding RNA, 406 nt
Filed under: Gallus gallus (chicken)
Lineage: Eukaryota; Metazoa; Chordata; Aves; Galliformes; Phasianidae
Source: RNAcentral
AAACUGUAGAACACACCGACACAAAAAGACAUUUUCAGGCAACUCUGUAACUGCCAUACUCAGAAAAUAAUUACAUUUUCCAAAUGUUAGCACAGUCUCAAAGCACUGAUGCUAAGAUAAACGUUGUGCCAGUGCCGAAUUUGUAAAUGAAAUGACACAUAAGCAAAACACAGGCGAGCACAUCCAAACAGAUAAGAGUAACAACAGUUGAAAGCCAGCCAUGAAACAUACUAUCACGAUUUCAUACUACACUUUGCUGUUACUGUGCAGUAUUUCUCAUGGCACGCUGGAGAAACGUUCAUUUCUUAGCUUUUAUGUGAAGCAUCAGUUUCCACAAAGAAAAACAUAUCCUUUUUUUUUUUUCUUGGUCAUAGAGAAGACGUACUCUAAUAGAUGUAGGAAUACA